RNAcentral lists this transfer RNA (90 nucleotides) under Candidatus Nomurabacteria bacterium. RNAcentral describes it as "tRNA-Ser". It matches the Rfam family "tRNA". From Rfam's summary of the family: Transfer RNA (tRNA) molecules are approximately 80 nucleotides in length. Their secondary structure includes four short double-helical elements and three loops (D, anti-codon, and T loops). Further hydrogen bonds mediate the characteristic L-shaped molecular structure. tRNAs have two regions of fundamental functional importance: the anti-codon, which is responsible for specific mRNA codon recognition, and the 3' end, to which the tRNAs corresponding amino acid is attached (by aminoacyl-tRNA synthetases). tRNAs cope with the degeneracy of the genetic code in two manners: having more than one tRNA (with a specific anti-codon) for a particular amino acid; and 'wobble' base-pairing, i.e. permitting non-standard base-pairing at the 3rd anti-codon position. Lineage: Bacteria; Candidatus Nomuraibacteriota. The record is from RNAcentral.
GGAGGCGUGGCUGAGUGGUUGAAGGCACUUGUCUUGAAAACAAGAGACUGGGCAACUGGUCCGUGAGUUCGAAUCUCACCGCCUCCGCCA